CAUAAGGAGCUGGAGCAGGGAAGGCUGGUGAGAAAGAACGGAAAGAGGAAGGCUGGAGAGAGAGAGGUUAGAAAGGGAAAAGCUGGAGAGGGAGCGACUGGAACAAGAACAGCUGGAGAGCCAGAGAGAGAGACAAGAACAGGAACAGCAAACUCCUGAAUCUGGAGAGGCAAGAAAGACAAGAAAGAGAGAGGCUAGAGAGACUGAAAUGGGAGAGGCAAGAGAGGGAGCGACAAGAACAGUUAGAAAGGGAACAACUGGAAUGGGAGAGAGAGCGCAGAAUAUCAAAUGCUGCUGCCCCUGCCUCUGUUGAGACUCGUCUAAACUCUGUGCUGGGAGACUCUUCUGCUUCUGACCCAGGCUUGCAGGCAGCCUCUCAGCUGGCCGAGACUCCAGCCCAAAAGGGCAUUGUCUUGGGACCUCUUGCACCUCCACCUCCUCCACCACUCCCACCAAGGCCCGCACAGGCUUCAGCAGCACUCCCUCCUCUUCCAGGGCCCCCUCCACCGCCUCCAUUCCCCAUCCACUGGGCCUCCACUGGCCCCUUCUUCCCCCUCCUUUCCCUAAUCAAAUACCUCCUCCUCCUCCACCGCCUCCUGUCCGGCCCCUCCCUGCAUCUGGAUUCUUUUGGGGAUCCAUGUCAGAAGACAAUCGCCCUUUAACUGCACCUGCAGCUGCAAUUGCAGGAGCAAAACUUAGGAAAGUGUCACGGAUGGGGGAUGCCUCUUUCCCAAGCAGAGGGAAUGCUACUGGUGUGAACUCGGCCUCAUCUAAAACAGAUACAGGCCUACAGGCCAUGGAAAUGGACUCCUUCCUUUAGGUGGUAGUGGUUUAGUGAAAUAAAUGAGUGCCCUGCUGCCAGGAGGAAAAGAAUUGCUGAAAAGGGAUCAAAAAUAGAAACAGAAGAAAAAGGACAAAGGUGAAGAUUCAGAGCUUGUAACUUCUAAGGCCUCUUCAACAAGUACACCUGAACCAACAAGGAAACCUUGGGAAAGAACGAAUACAAUGAAUGGCAGCAAGUCACAUGUUAUCUCCAAACCAAAAUCCACACCCUUAUUACAGCCCAGUGGCAAUGGAGUCCAGAUGGAAGGACUUAACUACCACAGGCUGAAGCAGGACAUCUUAGAUGAAAUGAAAAAGGAAUGAACAAAGCUAAAAGAAGAGCUCAUUGAUGCAAUCAGGCAGACACUGAGCAAGUCAAAUACUGCA
This 1209-nucleotide long non-coding RNA is filed under the name Homo sapiens (human). RNAcentral's name for it is "non-protein coding lnc-IL1RAP-2:1". Lineage: Eukaryota; Metazoa; Chordata; Mammalia; Primates; Hominidae. The record is from RNAcentral.